GAUGAACGCUGGCGGCGUGCCUAAUACAUGCAAGUCGAGCGAAUGGAUUAAGAGCUUGCUCUUAUGAAGUUAGCGGCGGACGGGUGAGUAACACGUGGGUAACCUGCCCAUAAGACUGGGAUAACUCCGGGAAACCGGGGCUAAUACCGGAUAACAUUUUGAACCGCAUGGUUCGAAAUUGAAAGGCGGCUUCGGCUGUCACUUAUGGAUGGACCCGCGUCGCAUUAGCUAGUUGGUGAGGUAACGGCUCACCAAGGCAACGAUGCGUAGCCGCCCUGAGAGGGUGAUCGGCCACACUGGGACUGCGACACGGCCCAUACUCCUACGGGAGGCAGCAGUAGGGAAUCUUCCGCAAUGGACGAACGUCUGACGGAGCAACGCCGCGUGAGUGAUGAAGGCUUUCGGGUCGUAAAACUCUGUUGUUAGGGAAGAACAAGUGCUAGUUGAAUAAGCUGACACCUUGACGGUACCUAACCAGAAAGCCACGGCUAACUACGUGCCAGCCGCCGCGGUAA
RNAcentral lists this ribosomal RNA (515 nucleotides) under uncultured bacterium. RNAcentral's name for it is "partial 16S ribosomal RNA". It matches the Rfam family "Bacterial small subunit ribosomal RNA", at positions 28 to 523 of the family's 1533-position model. The record is from RNAcentral.